This 348-nucleotide unclassified non-coding RNA is filed under the name soil metagenome. RNAcentral's name for it is "partial contains 5.8S ribosomal RNA, internal transcribed spacer 2, and large subunit ribosomal RNA". The stretch from base 3 to 120 matches the Rfam family "5.8S ribosomal RNA", at positions 37 to 154 of the family's 154-position model. The record is from RNAcentral.
GGUGAAGAACGCAGCAAAAUGCGAUAAGUAAUGUGAAUUGCAGAAUUCAGUGAAUCAUCGAAUCUUUGAACGCACAUUGCGCCCGCUGGUAUUCCGGCGGGCAUGCCUGUUCGAGCGUCAUUUCAACCCUCAAGCCCCCGGGUUUGGUGUUGGGGAUCGGCUCUGCCCUUCUGGGCGGUGCCGCCCCCGAAAUACAUUGGCGGUCUCGCUGCAGCCUCCAUUGCGUAGUAGCUAACACCUCGCAACUGGAACGCGGCGCGGCCAUGCCGUAAAACCCCAACUUCUGAAUGUUGACCUCGGAUCAGGUAGGAAUACCCGCUGAACUUAAGCAUAUCAAUAAGCGGAGGA